This is a long non-coding RNA of Rosa rugosa (rugosa rose), 1255 nucleotides long. RefSeq lists it as uncharacterized. Lineage: Eukaryota; Viridiplantae; Streptophyta; Magnoliopsida; Rosales; Rosaceae. The record is from RefSeq and is a predicted model, not a curated record. The transcript is spliced from 5 exons.
UCUCUCUCCCCCUUAGCCUCGUUUUUCCUUCUCUCUCUCUCUCUCUCUCGUCCUCCCACUGCCAGCGCCGGAAAACACUAUCUCCGGCCACCACCAUACAACACCGCCUCCACCAAUCAAUGCAGCACCUGAAUCCGACCCAAACCCAAGAGAAAUCGAAGCCAUGCAUCAACCCCGACCUCUCGCUCCCUCUCUCUUCUUCUUCCUUCUGCAACCACCGGAGAACACCAUCUCCGACCACCAUCUCACCACACCGCCACCACCAAUUGAUCCAGCACCCAAAUCUGACCCAAGCCCGAGCCUCACCACCGACAUGCACCGCUGGCAGCCUCCACACUCGACAACCCACGACUGCAACGCCACUGUUCCUCGAACCUCGCCGAUUUUCAGCCAUCAUUUCAUCGCACAGCCGCCACCAACGAGCUCGGGGUAAGCUGUUUAUCAUCACCCCAAAGCCUCGUCGCUAACCCGAAGCUGGAGAACGUCGUGCGCGCCUUCGCCGGCGAUCUGGGGUUCUGCAAAGCUAAGGAUACCACCUCCGGCCACGAUUGAACGAAGCCAUCACCUUGAAGAAGCUUAGGGCUGCACGAAUCGCCUUAACCCCUUAAUCCUGACCUCCGACUCCGAUCAGAACCACCGCACGCGCCUCACGCGCCGUCGCUGGCGCUUGAGCUGACCUAGCACCGCCGUGCAUCACCGCUGGACUUCCAGACCUCCUUCAUUAGAAAUGAGGUUCUUGGAUUUAUGCGAUGUGGAGUUUCGGAGAAGAUGAGCUACUGGGGUAGCUUUGGUUGAAAUCAGAUAUGGGAUUCGAAAGGUUGGUAAGGGUGGACCACGACUAUGUUGGAUCGAGUCACAGUUUGGAAAAGAAGAAUGGACUCGAGCAUGUGCACUUGGAUUCGGACAAAUGAUCGAAAGUCGGGAUCGAACCCGAAUGUGGACGAGCACUCCAUAUCCAGUGUGCAGGUCUUGAGCAUGUGCUCGGGGAGCGUACAGAGGAGGCACAUGGCCCGGCUUGGUGCAUUCUUCUUUAAUUUUAUCAAAAGAAGGUUUUGGUCCUUUAUCGGAUUUUGAAGUCACUUAUUUAUUUACUUUUUAAUUGUUUCCUACUCGCUUAUUUACAAAAUUUCUGGAGACCCGCAACCUAGGGGCGCGUCUCUCAUACUUGUAUUUACUUAGUGAUUUGUUAUUUUCCAAAUUGGGCUCCUAUUGUAAGCCCAAAUCCUUUAGCCCACAUUAAAUUCCGUUUUGAAGA